This 361-nucleotide long non-coding RNA is filed under the name Elaeis guineensis (African oil palm). Its description in RNAcentral is "long non-coding RNA (EGUI_LNC076909)". Lineage: Eukaryota; Viridiplantae; Streptophyta; Magnoliopsida; Arecales; Arecaceae. The record is from RNAcentral.
GUUGGGCGGCUGAGUUUCGUCACCGUCAAGAUGAGGUUCUCCUUCCAUUCCUGACGUAGUCGAUCUCAGCUCCGGUUAGGAUGAGGUUCUUCUCCUGUUCCCAAUGGGGCCACGGGGGCACAUAAGGGCCAUUGCAAGGGUCUCUCCCCCCAUCCAGUCUAAAAGAACCAGGCCUUCGACUUUGCUCAUGUCAGGAUGAGGUUCUCCCCCUGUUCCUGACAUGGCUGUGGGGGCACAUUAGGGCAUUGUAAGGCCUCUCCCCCCAUCCGGUCUAAAAGAACCGGGCCUUUGACUUUGCUCAUGUCAGGAUGAGGUUCUCCUCCUGUUCCUGACAUGGCUGUGUGGGCGCAUUAGGGCAUUG